AGAUUGAACGCUGGCGGCAUGCCUUACACAUGCAAGUCGAACGGCAGCACGGGGGCAACCCUGUGGCGAGUGGCGAACGGGUGAGUAAUACAUCGGAACGUGCCCAGUAGUGGGGGAUAGCCCGGCGAAAGCCGGAUUAAUACCGCAUACAACCUUUGGGUAAAAGUGGGGGAUCGCAAGACCUCACGCUAUUGGAGCGGCCGAUGUCAGAUUAGGUUGUUGGUGGGGUAAAAGCCUACCAAGCCGACGAUCUGUAGCUGGUCUGAGAGGACGACCAGCCACACUGGGACUGAGACACGGCCCAGACUCUA
This 311-nucleotide ribosomal RNA is filed under the name uncultured soil bacterium. Its description in RNAcentral is "bacterial SSU rRNA". It matches the Rfam family "Bacterial small subunit ribosomal RNA", at positions 26 to 340 of the family's 1533-position model. The record is from RNAcentral.